GGGUUGUGAGGUUAAGCGACUAAGCGUACACGGUGGAUGCCCUGGCAGUCAGAGGCGAUGAAGGACGUGCUAAUCUGCGAUAAGCGUCGGUAAGGUGAUAUGAACCGUUAUAACCGGCGAUUUCCGAAUGGGGAAACCCAGUGUGAUUCGUCACACUAUCAUUAACUGAAUCCAUAGGUUAAUGAGGCGAACCGGGGGAACUGAAACAUCUAAGUACCCCGAGGAAAAGAAAUCAACCGAGAUUCCCCCAGUAGCGGCGAGCGAACGGGGAGCAGCCCAGAGCCUGAAUCAGUGUGUGUGUUAGUGGAAGCGUCUGGAAAGGCGCGCGAUACAGGGUGACAGCCCCGUACACAAAAAUGCACAUACUGUGAGCUCGAUGAGUAGGGCGGGACACGUGGUAUCCUGUCUGAAUAUGGGGGACCAUCCUCCAAGGCUAAAUACUCCUGACUGACCGAUAGUGAACCAGUACCGUGAGGGAAAGGCGAAAAGAACCCCGGCGAGGGGAGUGAAAAAGAACCUGAAACCGUGUACGUACAAGCAGUGGGAGCACGCUUAGGCGUGUGACUGCGUACCUUUUGUAUAAUGGGUCAGCGACUUAUAUUCUGUAGCAAGGUUAACCGAAUAGGGGAGCCGAAGGGAAACCGAGUCUUAACUGGGCGUUAAGUUGCAGGGUAUAGACCCGAAACCCGGUGAUCUAGCCAUGGGCAGGUUGAAGGUUGGGUAACACUAACUGGAGGACCGAACCGACUAAUGUUGAAAAAUUAGCGGAUGACUUGUGGCUGGGGGUGAAAGGCCAAUCAAACCGGGAGAUAGCUGGUUCUCCCCGAAAGCUAUUUAGGUAGCGCCUCGUGAAUUCAUCUCCGGGGGUAGAGCACUGUUUCGGCAAGGGGGUCAUCCCGACUUACCAACCCGAUGCAAACUGCGAAUACCGGAGAAUGUUAUCACGGGAGACACACGGCGGGUGCUAACGUCCGUCGUGAAGAGGGAAACAACCCAGACCGCCAGCUAAGGUCCCAAAGUCAUGGUUAAGUGGGAAACGAUGUGGGAAGGCCCAGACAGCCAGGAUGUUGGCUUAGAAGCAGCCAUCAUUUAAAGAAAGCGUAAUAGCUCACUGGUCGAGUCGGCCUGCGCGGAAGAUGUAACGGGGCUAAACCAUGCACCGAAGCUGCGGCAGCGACGCUUAUGCGUUGUUGGGUAGGGGAGCGUUCUGUAAGCCUGUGAAGGUGUGCUGUGAGGCAUGCUGGAGGUAUCAGAAGUGCGAAUGCUGACAUAAGUAACGAUAAAGCGGGUGAAAAGCCCGCUCGCCGGAAGACCAAGGGUUCCUGUCCAACGUUAAUCGGGGCAGGGUGAGUCGACCCCUAAGGCGAGGCCGAAAGGCGUAGUCGAUGGGAAACAGGUUAAUAUUCCUGUACUUGGUGUUACUGCGAAGGGGGGACGGAGAAGGCUAUGUUGGCCGGGCGACGGUUGUCCCGGUUUAAGCGUGUAGGCUGGUUUUCCAGGCAAAUCCGGAAAAUCAAGGCUGAGGCGUGAUGACGAGGCACUACGGUGCUGAAGCAACAAAUGCCCUGCUUCCAGGAAAAGCCUCUAAGCAUCAGGUAACAUCAAAUCGUACCCCAAACCGACACAGGUGGUCAGGUAGAGAAUACCAAGGCGCUUGAGAGAACUCGGGUGAAGGAACUAGGCAAAAUGGUGCCGUAACUUCGGGAGAAGGCACGCUGAUAUGUAGGUGAAGCGACUUGCUCGUGGAGCUGAAAUCAGUCGAAGAUACCAGCUGGCUGCAACUGUUUAUUAAAAACACAGCACUGUGCAAACACGAAAGUGGACGUAUACGGUGUGACGCCUGCCCGGUGCCGGAAGGUUAAUUGAUGGGGUCAGCGCAAGCGAAGCUCUUGAUCGAAGCCCCGGUAAACGGCGGCCGUAACUAUAACGGUCCUAAGGUAGCGAAAUUCCUUGUCGGGUAAGUUCCGACCUGCACGAAUGGCGUAAUGAUGGCCAGGCUGUCUCCACCCGAGACUCAGUGAAAUUGAACUCGCUGUGAAGAUGCAGUGUACCCGCGGCAAGACGGAAAGACCCCGUGAACCUUUACUAUAGCUUGACACUGAACAUUGAGCCUUGAUGUGUAGGAUAGGUGGGAGGCUUAGAAGUGUGGACGCCAGUCUGCAUGGAGCCGACCUUGAAAUACCACCCUUUAAUGUUUGAUGUUCUAACGUUGACCCGUAAUCCGGGUUGCGGACAGUGUCUGGUGGGUAGUUUGACUGGGGCGGUCUCCUCCUAAAGAGUAACGGAGGAGCACGAAGGUUGGCUAAUCCUGGUCGGACAUCAGGAGGUUAGUGCAAUGGCAUAAGCCAGCUUGACUGCGAGCGUGACGGCGCGAGCAGGUGCGAAAGCAGGUCAUAGUGAUCCGGUGGUUCUGAAUGGAAGGGCCAUCGCUCAACGGAUAAAAGGUACUCCGGGGAUAACAGGCUGAUACCGCCCAAGAGUUCAUAUCGACGGCGGUGUUUGGCACCUCGAUGUCGGCUCAUCACAUCCUGGGGCUGAAGUAGGUCCCAAGGGUAUGGCUGUUCGCCAUUUAAAGUGGUACGCGAGCUGGGUUUAGAACGUCGUGAGACAGUUCGGUCCCUAUCUGCCGUGGGCGCUGGAGAACUGAGGGGGCUGCUCCUAGUACGAGAGGACCGGAGUGGACGCAUCACUGGUGUUCGGGUUGUCAUGCCAAUGGCACUGCCCGGUAGCUAAAUGCGGAAGAGAUAAGUGCUGAAAGCAUCUAAGCACGAAACUUGCCCCGAGAUGAGUUCUCCCUGACCCUUUAAGGGUCCUGAAGGAACGUUGAAGACGACGACGUUGAUAGGCCGGGUGUGUAAGCGCAGCGAUGCGUUGAGCUAACCGGUACUAAUGAACCGUGAGGCUUAACCUUACAACGCCGAAGCUGUU
Molecule: ribosomal RNA, 2928 nt
Filed under: Escherichia coli
Lineage: Bacteria; Pseudomonadati; Pseudomonadota; Gammaproteobacteria; Enterobacterales; Enterobacteriaceae
Description: bacterial LSU rRNA
Rfam family: Bacterial large subunit ribosomal RNA
Source: RNAcentral